Molecule: ribosomal RNA, 2130 nt
Filed under: Amphicotyle heteropleura
Lineage: Eukaryota; Metazoa; Platyhelminthes; Cestoda; Bothriocephalidea; Triaenophoridae
Description: SSU rRNA
Rfam family: Eukaryotic small subunit ribosomal RNA
Source: RNAcentral
ACCUGGUUGAUCCUGCCAGUAGUCAUAUGCUUGUCUCAAAGAUUAAGCCAUGCAUGUCUCAGUGCACGCCUUUAUACGGUGAAACCGCGAAUGGCUCAUUAAAUCAGCUAUGGUUUACUGGAUCGUACCCGUUAAAUGGAUAACUGUAAUAACUCUAGAGCUAAUACAUGCAACUAUGCCCUGACCCGCAAGGGAAUGGGUGCACUUAUUAGAUCAGAAGCCAACCGGGCGUCGGUCGCAAGGCCGGUGUCUGUUGUCGUUCUGGUGACUCUGGAUAAUUGUUACAGAUCGCAGUCGGCCAUGAGUCGGCGACGGGUCCUCCAAAUGUCUGCCCUAUCAACUUUCGAUGGUAGGUGAUCUGCCUACCAUGGUGAUAACGGGUAACGGGGAAUCAGGGUUCGAUUCCGGAGAGGGAGCCUGAGAAACGGCUACCACUUCCAAGGGAGGCAGCAGGCGCGCAAAUUACCCACUCCCAGCACGGGGAGGUGGUGACGAAAAAUACCGAUGCGGGACUCCCAAACGAGGCUCCGUAAUCGGAAUGAGUGAACUAUAAAUCCUUUCACGAGGAUCAAUUGGAGGGCAAGUCUGGUGCCAGCAGCCGCGGUAACUCCAGCUCCAAUAGCGUAUAUUAAAGUUGCUGCAGUUAAAAAGCUCGUAGUUGGAUCUCGGUAUCAUUGUUGCCUGCUAGUCUUAGGGGCGCUGACCUAUCGGUGCAUGGGUGAGCCUGUGUGCUAUAGCGUUGGCUGCCUCGGGUUGGUUUGGCGGCGGUGUCACCUUUCAGCCAUGUCUGUGGUGAAAUACCCGCAGGUGUAGGCGAGUGCCAGGCGGUGCCUUGCAACUGUAGGGUUCGUCGGCUUGUCUGCAUGCCUUUGGAUGCCCUUUAAAAGGUGUCUGUGGGCGGAUGGCACGUUUACUUUGAACAAAUUUGAGUGCUCAAACCAGGCCGACGUUGCCUGAAAAGUUUUGCAUGGAAUAAUGGAAUAGGACUUCGGUUCUAUUUCGUUGGUUUUCGGAUCCGAAGUAAUGAUCAAAAGAGACAGGCGGGGACGUUUGUAUGGUUGCGCUAGAGGUGAAAUUCUUGGACCGUAGCCAGACAAACUAAAGCGAAAGCAUUCGUCAAGCAUGUUUUCAUUGGCCAUGAGCGAAAGUCAGAGGCUCGAAGACGAUCAGAUACCGUCCUAGUUCUGACCAUAAACGAUGCCAACUGACGAUCCGUGGUGGUAGCAUUUAAACCUUCCUCACGGGCAGUCCCCGGGAAACCAUUAAGUCUAUGGGUUCCGGGGGAAGUAUGGUUGCAAAGCUGAAACUUAAAGGAAUUGACGGAAGGGCACCACCAGGAGUGGAGCCUGCGGCUUAAUUUGACUCAACACGGGAAAACUCACCCGGCCCGGACACUAUGAGGAUUGACAGAUUGACAGCUCUUUCUUGAUUUGGUGGUUGGUGGUGCAUGGCCGUUCUUAGUUGGUGGAGCGAUUUGUCUGGUUAAUUCCGAUAACGAACGAGACUCCAGCCUGCUAAUUAGUUCUCCUGUCCACUGUUCCUGUGUAGGCAGGCGUUUGACGAGUCUGCCCUUCUAGGCUGCCCUGUUGGUGGUGUUAGGUGCGUUUGAGUGCUGGCCGCAAGGCUGGCGUUUGGCGUACUUAAUGCAAUGCUGACUCGUGUGGCUUGGGUGGAUGGUUCGGCGUUUGCUUCCGGGUACGGCGCGGGUGUCUACUUCUUAGAGGGACAAGCGGGAGAAGCCGCACGAAAUUGAGCAAUAACAGGUCUGUGAUGCCCUUAGAUGUCCGGGGCCGCACGCGCGCUACAAUGACGGUGGCAACGAGUCUGACCUUCUGGCCCGAAAGGGUUGGGCAAACUGGUCAAUCACCGUCAUGACAGGGAUCGGGGCUUGGAAUUGUUCCCCGUGAACGAGGAAUUCCUAGUAAGUGCAAGUCAUAAGCUUGCGCUGAUUACGUCCCUGCCCUUUGUACACACCGCCCGUCGCUACUACCGAUUGAAUGGUUUAGUAAGGUCCUUGGAUUGGCGCCAUUGAAGCCGAAAGGCUCAGGCGGUGCUGAGAAGACGACCGAACUUGAUCAUUUAGAGGAAGUAAAAGUCGUAACAAGGUUUCCGUAGGUGAACCAGCGGAAG